GAUGAACGCUGGCGGCGUGCCUAAUACAUGCAAGUCGAGCGAACAGACGAGGAGCUUGCUCCUCUGACGUUAGCGGCGGACGGGUGAGUAACACGUGGAUAACCUACCUAUAAGACUGGGAUAACUUCGGGAAACCGGAGCUAAUACCGGAUAAUAUAUUGAACCGCAUGGUUCAAUAGUGAAAGACGGUUUUGCUGUCACUUAUAGAUGGAUCCGCGCCGCAUUAGCUAGUUGGUAAGGUAACGGCUUACCAAGGCAACGAUGCGUAGCCGACCUGAGAGGGUGACCGGCCACACUGGAACUGAGACACGGUCCAAACUCCUACGGGAGGCAGCAGUAGGGAAUCUUCCGCAAUGGGCGAAAGCUUGACGGAGCAACGCCGCGUGAGUGAUGAAGGUCUUCGGAUCGUAAAACUCUGUUAUAGGGAAGAACAAAUGUGUAAGUAACUAUGCACGUCUUGACGGUACCUAAUCAGAAAGCCACGGCUAACUACGUG
Molecule: ribosomal RNA, 496 nt
Filed under: uncultured bacterium
Lineage: Bacteria
Description: partial 16S ribosomal RNA
Rfam family: Bacterial small subunit ribosomal RNA
Source: RNAcentral